GGCCUUUUGAUUAUAAUUUAAGGUCUGACCUGCCCAAUGAGGAGUUUAAUGGCCGCGGUAUACUAACCGUGCAAAGGUAGCAUAAUCAUUAGUUUUUUAAUUGAAAGCUGGAAUGAAGGGUUUGAUGAAAAAAGUUCUGUCUUUACUUGAAUUUAUUAAAAUUUUAUUUUUAAGUUAAAAAGCUUAAAUAUUUAUUGAAGACGAGAAGACCCUAUAGAGUUUUAUAUUUUUAUGAUUUAUUGUAUUUGGUAAUUUUAAUUUAAUUUUUAAAAGUAUUUAGUUGGGGUGACUGAAAAACUAGAGAAACUUUUUUUUUACCAAACAUUAAUUUUUGGGCGGAUGAUCCUUUUUUUAGAUUAAAAGAAAAAAUUACCUUAGGGAUAACAGCGUAAUUUUUUUUAGAGUUCUUAUCAAAAAGAAAGAUUGCGACCUCGAUGUUGGAUUAAAAUAAGUUUUCGGUGCAAAAGCUGAAAAACUAGGUCUGUUCGACCUUUAAAUUUUUACAUGAUCUGAGUUUAGACCGGUUUAAG
This 530-nucleotide ribosomal RNA is filed under the name Canariacalles alluaudi. RNAcentral's name for it is "partial 16S ribosomal RNA". It matches the Rfam family "Bacterial large subunit ribosomal RNA", at positions 1819 to 2625 of the family's 2925-position model. Lineage: Eukaryota; Metazoa; Arthropoda; Insecta; Coleoptera; Curculionidae. The record is from RNAcentral.